This 378-nucleotide unclassified non-coding RNA is filed under the name uncultured Chlamydiales bacterium. RNAcentral describes it as "contains 16S-23S intergenic spacer region". Lineage: Bacteria; Pseudomonadati; Chlamydiota; Chlamydiia; Chlamydiales. The record is from RNAcentral.
UCCUAGUUAACCUAGGCAGUCUCAUUAGAGUUCCCACCAUUACGUGUUGGCAACUAAUGACAAGGGUUGCGCUCGUUGCGGGACUUAACCCAACACCUCACGGCACGAGCUGACGACAGCCAUGCAGCACCUGUGCAAAGGCCCCGAAGGGAAAUGAUAUCUCUACCAUCGUCCUCUGCAUGUCAAGUCUGGGUAAGGUUCUUCGCGUUGCAUCGAAUUAAACCACAUACUCCACUGCUUGUGCGGGUCCCCGUCAAUUCUUUUGAGUUUCACCCUUGCGAGUGUACUCCUCAGGCGGUAUACUUAUCGCGUUAGCUACGGCAAAACUGGGGUUGAGUCCAGCUACACCUAGUAUACAUCGUUUACGGCAAGGACUAC